RNAcentral lists this ribosomal RNA (546 nucleotides) under Glomus sp. C/2-3. RNAcentral's name for it is "SSU rRNA". It matches the Rfam family "Eukaryotic small subunit ribosomal RNA", at positions 548 to 1098 of the family's 1831-position model. Lineage: Eukaryota; Fungi; Glomeromycota; Glomeromycetes; Glomerales; Glomeraceae. The record is from RNAcentral.
UUGGAGGGCAAGUCUGGUGCCAGCAGCCGCGGUAAUUCCAGCUCCAAUAGCGUAUAUUAGAGUUGUUGCAGUUAAAAAGCUCGUAGUUGAAUUUCGGGAUCAAUUUGUUGGUCGUGCCUCGGUACGUACUGGCAUUAUUGGUUUCUACCUUCUGAAGAACCUUGAUGUCAUUAAUUUGGUGUCUUGGGGAAUCAGGACUGUUACUUUGAAAAAAUUAGAGUGUUUAAAGCAGGCAUACGCUUGAAUACAUUAGCAUGGAAUAAUGAAAUAGGACGUUCGAUUCUAUUUUGUUGGUUUCUAGGAUCGACGUAAUGAUUAAUAGGGAUAGUUGGGGGCAUUAGUAUUCAAUUGUCAGAGGUGAAAUUCUUGGAUUUAUUGAAGACUAACUACUGCGAAAGCAUUUGCCAAGGAUGUUUUCAUUAAUCAAGAACGAAAGUUAGGGGGUCGAAGACGAUCAGAUACCGUCGUAGUCUUAACCAUAAACUAUGCCGACUAGGGAUCGGAUGAUGUUAUUUUUAAUGACUCAUUCGGCGCCUUACGGGAAAC